This 466-nucleotide ribosomal RNA is filed under the name Anaplasma marginale. RNAcentral describes it as "bacterial SSU rRNA". It matches the Rfam family "Bacterial small subunit ribosomal RNA", at positions 1059 to 1525 of the family's 1533-position model. Lineage: Bacteria; Pseudomonadati; Pseudomonadota; Alphaproteobacteria; Rickettsiales; Anaplasmataceae. The record is from RNAcentral.
CUCGUGUCGUGAGAUGUUGGGUUAAGUCCCGCAACGAGCGCAACCCUCAUCCUUAGUUACCAGCGGGUAAUGCCGGGCACUUUAAGGAAACUGCCAGUGAUAAACUGGAGGAAGGUGGGGAUGAUGUCAAGUCAGCACGGCCCUUAUGGGGUGGGCUACACACGUGCUACAAUGGCGACUACAAUAGGUUGCAACGUCGCAAGGCUGAGCUAAUCCGUAAAAGUCGUCUCAGUUCGGAUUGUCCUCUGUAACUCGAGGGCAUGAAGUCGGAAUCGCUAGUAAUCGUGGAUCAGCAUGCCACGGUGAAUACGUUCUCGGGUCUUGUACACACUGCCCGUCACGCCAUGGGAAUUGGCUUAACUCGAAGCUGGUGCGCCAACCGUAAGGAGGCAGCCAUUUAAGGUUGGGUCGGUGACUGGGGUGAAGUCGUAACAAGGUAGCUGUAGGUGAACCUGCGGCUGGAUCA